Molecule: transfer RNA, 71 nt
Filed under: Loxodonta africana (African savanna elephant)
Lineage: Eukaryota; Metazoa; Chordata; Mammalia; Proboscidea; Elephantidae
Rfam family: tRNA
About the family: Transfer RNA (tRNA) molecules are approximately 80 nucleotides in length.
Source: Rfam by way of RNAcentral
GCAUUGGUGGGUCAGAGGUAGAAUUCUCUUCUUCCAUAUGGGAGACUAGGGUUCGAUUCCCAGCCAAUGUA